Molecule: ribosomal RNA, 498 nt
Filed under: Anguilla anguilla (European eel)
Lineage: Eukaryota; Metazoa; Chordata; Actinopteri; Anguilliformes; Anguillidae
Description: partial large subunit ribosomal RNA
Rfam family: Bacterial large subunit ribosomal RNA
Source: RNAcentral
CGCCUCUUGCUAACAAAGGAAGUACUAGAGGUCCCGCCUGCCCUGUGACCACAAAGUUUAACGGCCGCGGUAUCCUGACCGUGCGAAGGUAGCGUAAUCAUUUGUCUUUUAAAUAGAGACCUGUAUGAAUGGCAUAACGAGGGUUUAACUGUCUCCUUCCCCUAGUCAAUGAAAUUGAUCUGCCCGUGCAGAAGCGGACAUAAACACAUAAGACGAGAAGACCCUAUGGAGCUUUAGACAAAAGAUCAAACAUGUAAAGAAACCAAACCAACCAAAAGGAACACGAAGGCCACAAAACCCAACGUAAACUGAUCUAAAUGUCUUCGGUUGGGGCGACCAUGGGGGAAAGAAAAGCCCCCACGAGGAACAGGGACAACCCCUAAACUAAGAGAGACACCUCUAAGCAACAGAAAAUCUGACCAAAAUGACCCAGGAUACUAAUCCUGAUCAACGAACCAAGUUACCCUAGGGAUAACAGCGCAAUCCUUUCCCAGAGUC